UACUUAGUGGCAGACGGGUGAGUAACAUGUGGGUAUCUACCCUUUGGCCUGGAAUAACACGAGGAAACUUGUGCUAAUACCGGAUAAGUCUUUACGGAGAAAGCUUUAUGCACCAUUGGAUGAGCCCGCACUUGAUUAGUUUGUUGGUAGGGUAAUGGCCUACCAAGACUAUGAUCAAUAGCUGAUUUGAGAGGAUGAUCAGCCACAUUGGGACUGAGACACGGCCCAAACUCCUACGGGAGGCAGCAGUGGGGAAUCUUGCACAAUGGAGGAAACUCUGAUGCAGCGAUGCCGCGUGAGUGAAGAAGGCCUUUGGGUUGUAAAGCUCUUUCGUCGGGGAAGAAAAUGACUGUACCCGAAUAAGAAGGUCCGGCUAACUUCGUGCCAGCAGCCGCGGUAAUACGAAGGGACCUAGCGUAGUUCGGAAUUACUGGGCUUAAAGAGUUCGUAGGUGGUUGAAAAAGUUGGUGGUGAGAUCCCAGAGCUUAACUCUGGAACUGCCAUCAAAACUUUUCAGCUA
This 520-nucleotide ribosomal RNA is filed under the name uncultured Pelagibacterales bacterium. RNAcentral describes it as "bacterial SSU rRNA". It matches the Rfam family "Bacterial small subunit ribosomal RNA", at positions 89 to 643 of the family's 1533-position model. Lineage: Bacteria; Pseudomonadati; Pseudomonadota; Alphaproteobacteria; Candidatus Pelagibacterales. The record is from RNAcentral.